AGUUAAGAUCGGCUAGCUUUAAUCCAAACUUUUCGAUGCAACAACGCAGAAGUUUGUUUCCUGGAAUUGGUCUAGAAACCUCACCAACACCAACGUUUCUUAAUUUCCAGUCUAGCAAUUUGAAUGCGGUACUCCAAGCAAAGCAAGAACUGCGCGAUAGUUCUUCCCUGGAGUUGUCGACGGAGACAGAAGAGAGCUUGAGCAGGAAAAGAAGGCCAGAGCAAGAUUUAUCAUCG
Molecule: unclassified non-coding RNA, 236 nt
Filed under: Hevea brasiliensis (rubber tree)
Lineage: Eukaryota; Viridiplantae; Streptophyta; Magnoliopsida; Malpighiales; Euphorbiaceae
Source: RNAcentral